GAUGAAGAACGUAGCGAAAUGCGAUACUUGGUGUGGAUUGCAGAAUCUCGUGAACCAUCGAGUCUUUGAACGCAAGUUGCGCCCGAAGCCAUUAGGCCGAGGGCACGCCUGCCUGUGUGUCACACACCGUUACCCUCGCGCCAACGUCCAUCGUUGGCCGCGGCGCGGGGCGUGCGCUGACCUCCCGCGAGCGGGGUCUCGUGGUUGGUUGAAAAUCGAGUUCGCGGUCGAGGGUGCCGUGAUGAAAUGGUGGAUGGGCGACGCCCGAGGCCAAUCACGCGCGACUCUGUCCGGCUCGGACUCCUGGACCCCUUCGGCGUCUCCGGAAGCUCUUUGGCGAGACCUCAGGUCAGGCGGGGCUACCCGCUGAGUUUAAGCAUAUCAAUAAGCGGAGGA
This 396-nucleotide unclassified non-coding RNA is filed under the name soil metagenome. RNAcentral's name for it is "partial contains 5.8S ribosomal RNA, internal transcribed spacer 2, and large subunit ribosomal RNA". The stretch from base 1 to 122 matches the Rfam family "5.8S ribosomal RNA", at positions 35 to 154 of the family's 154-position model. The record is from RNAcentral.